UACGUAGGGUGCAAGCGUUGUCCGGAAUUAUUGGGCGUAAAGAGCUCGUAGGCGGUCUGUCGCGUCUGCUGUGAAAACUCGGGGCUUAACCCCGGGCCUGCAGUGGGUACGGGCAGACUAGAGUGCGGUAGGGGAGACUGGAAUUCCUGGUGUAGCGGUGAAAUGCGCAGAUAUCAGGAGGAACACCGAUGGCGAAGGCAGGUCUCUGGGCCAUAACUGACGCUGAGGUGCGAAAGCGUGGGGAGCAAACAGG
This 253-nucleotide ribosomal RNA is filed under the name uncultured bacterium. RNAcentral's name for it is "partial 16S ribosomal RNA". It matches the Rfam family "Bacterial small subunit ribosomal RNA", at positions 524 to 776 of the family's 1533-position model. The record is from RNAcentral.